Molecule: ribosomal RNA, 351 nt
Filed under: uncultured bacterium
Lineage: Bacteria
Description: bacterial SSU rRNA
Rfam family: Bacterial small subunit ribosomal RNA
Source: RNAcentral
GACGAACGCUGGCGGCAGGCUUAACACAUGCAAGUCGAACGCACCGCAAGGUGAGUGGCAGACGGGUGAGUAACGCGUGGGAACGUACACUUCGGUUCGGAAUAGCUCCGGGAAACUGGAAUUAAAACCGGAUACGCCCUUAGGGGGAAGAUUUAUCGCCGAAGGAUCGGCCCGCGUCAGAUUAGGUAGUUGGUAGGGUAACGGCCUACCAAGCCGAUGAUCUGUAGCUGGUCUGAGAGGAUGANCAGCCACACUGGGACUGAGACACGGCCCAGACUCCUACGGGAGGCAGCAGUGGGGAAUAUUGGACAAUGGGCGAAAGCCUGAUCCAGCAAUGCCGCGUGUGUGAAG